Non-coding RNA from Pelobates cultripes (western spadefoot toad), 362 nucleotides. The record is from the annotation of a GenBank genome assembly. NCBI's taxonomy places the organism in Eukaryota, Metazoa, Chordata, Amphibia, Anura, Pelobatidae.
CAAGUGUGAGAAAGAUCAGCCAAUAAGUGCAGUCUGAACGGAAUUCAUUGUGAUCUUCAACGUUUAGCAGUUCCGUAACAGAACAGAAGCCUUGGGAAAUUAAAUAAAACUCUGUGCCCCGUAGGGUCCUUGGUAUAUGCUGUGAUAGUUCACCAACUUCUUAAGAAUAGGAGUCACAGCUAUUUUACUAAAAUAAUCCUUUCACUAAGUUUUGAUAGGGUUAUAUUUAUGAUUUAUUAGUUUUGAGGUGACAGUUGUCCUUUAAUAAGCGUUUACCAUUAUUCGAUCACUGUCAACAUUUCGGUUUGAGAUCUGAACUUUCUUCAGGGCAGCUAACUUGUCAGACACCAAGCUGUAGUGAA